ACGUCUCAUCGUGAAUCAUCGAAUCUUUGAACGCAACUUGCACUCUUUCUGUGAAAGAGUAUGCCUAUUUGAGUGUUGGUUAGCCACCUCGCUGCAGCGCAUGCUGCGGCGGAUUUGGGCGGUUCCCGGCCACACAGCCAGGACCGCUUGGAAUGCGCUGAUCUCGGAGGGCGCGCAUUGGCCCGGGUUGUCUCAAACCCAGGCCGCACGCUUUGAUCCCUGACGUAGUAGGUGUGUCCAGCCCCGGCUGGCAAGCAGCAUUCGUCAGCGCGCGCCUAGUUGCCGCGAACCGGAUCUCUGCCGUGAGCAGUCAGUCCCCGGGUCACAAGUAAUUACAUCUUUAUUACCCAACCUCAAAUUAGGUAGGACCACCCGCUGAAUUUAAGCAUAUCAAUAAGCGGAGG
Molecule: ribosomal RNA, 404 nt
Filed under: uncultured Boletales
Lineage: Eukaryota; Fungi; Basidiomycota; Agaricomycetes; Boletales
Description: eukaryotic LSU rRNA
Rfam family: Eukaryotic large subunit ribosomal RNA (bases 349-404)
Source: RNAcentral